RNAcentral lists this ribosomal RNA (787 nucleotides) under Ammonia sp. T2A. Its description in RNAcentral is "SSU rRNA". The stretch from base 1 to 474 matches the Rfam family "Eukaryotic small subunit ribosomal RNA", at positions 1197 to 1501 of the family's 1831-position model. The record is from RNAcentral. Lineage: Eukaryota; Foraminifera; Rotaliida; Rotaliidae.
GACUCACGCGGGAAUCUUACCGGGUCCGGACACACUGAGGAUUGACAGAUAUACGCUCAUGCGUGCUUCGGCGCGCUGGGCUGAAAGAUGCUAGUUCUUUCAUGAUUAUGUGAUAGGUGGUGCAUGGCCGUUCUUAGUUCGUGGAGUGAUCUGUCUGCUUAAUUGCGUAUCAAUAAUAGAGACCUAGUAUACGCGUGGAUUUCGUGUGGUAGUGACCCCCUGUUUAACGACAGGCGUGUGUCGCACACGCGUACCUACGCACUGGUCUCAGAUAGCAACGAACGUGACCGUAUUCUAUUGUUGCAGUGAAAUGUGCCUUCGGGUACGACCCACUGCUUAGUAUAUGUACGUGCUUCGGCGCGCACAAUAUACAUUAAACUAUAGAGACCGCUGUUUCUUCUUUAAACCAGAGGAAGGAUACGGCAAUAACAGGUCUGUGAUGCCCUCAGAUGUUCCGGGCUGCACACGUGCUACAAUGAUCAUUGCACUGUGCAUCUAACCCAAUGUGCGCGGACGCCGCAUGCAUGUGCUCUUCACGGAGUACACGCAUUGCUGUUGCGACCGCGCCGAACCUACUUCGAAAGUAAAAUUUCUCAGUGGGUAAUCCAUUAGAAGUAAUGACUCGCAUAGACCAUGGCACAACUAAAUGUACGCGCAGGUUCUACCCGGCUCGCCUUUGUGUGAGUGCAGUGCGUAGCUUGUUGUUUCGUACGUGCCACUCCGUAUUAAUUCGUACGUGGGGAUAGAUCAUUGUUUAAUUGUUGGUCUCGGUCUUAACUAGGAAUGC